Homo sapiens (human) is the source of this 1971-nucleotide long non-coding RNA. Lineage: Eukaryota; Metazoa; Chordata; Mammalia; Primates; Hominidae. The record is from Ensembl.
GUCCAUCAGGGUCACGCUUGCAGGGCAACGAGAGGCAAAACAAGAGGGAAGACGACUUUCCUCCUGUGAGCCAAUGAGGCCAGCUGGACUACGCCGAGACAACUGGGAGAGGCGCGGGACUCGCCCGUUCCGCGGAACGCCGGGAAGGGGUCACCUCCUGAUGAAGUUUCCGGUUCCGGUGUCAGCGGCGGUUGAAUUGCCAUGGCAAUGCGGUGGGCGCGCGCUUGUCGUGUUGGUCUCUUGGGAGGUAGCGGGGCUAGGCCGGGCGGGUAUCCGCCUCUCCCAGCUUAGGUGAGCGUCCCCGGGCGCCUCCGGAGCGCCGCGGCCGCAUGCAGUUCGUCGUGGCGGGGAGCCGGAGCCUGACCGGGGUUCCAGCGCUCGGGCCGUAGCCUUGGCUCCUGGACUUUCCCUGGCUCCGCCGCCACGUGGGAGCUGAGGCUCUGGGGCUUCCGCCUCCGGCGCGCGAUUAUUUCUCUAGAACAGUUUUCAUUUUUAAAAUUUGUAAAGCGCUUUUGCCUGUGUGAUUUCCUCUGGGUUUUUUUUUUUUUUCUUCCUUUUUGUAGAGACGGAAUUGGCGGCGGGGGCGGGGGGUCGAUGUCUCACUUUUUUGCCCAGGCUGGUCUCGAACUCCUGGCUUCAAGGGAUCCUCCUGCCUCGGCCUCUUAAAGUGCUGGGAUUACAGGCGUGAGCCACCGCCCCCGGCCGCCUCUGAGUUUCCAGCCUCGUUGGCCCUCCAGCCUUUUAACCUGUUGGGCCUAGGAUCAGGAAAGGUUUGUUGAAUGGGGAACUAAGAAGUGAAUUCGUUCGUUCGACAAACGUUUCCUGAGCAGCCGCUGGGUGCUAGGCGCAGUGCCAGCGCGGAAUGUCCAGGGAGACCUGGUGCCCAAAGCUUGGACCCAUCGUGAGAAAUGAGAAGCAGAUACAAAGCAGUGUGGGAGUGCAGAGGAGACAAAGCAAGCCUCAUCAGGCCCAUUGCUUGCUCUGCUCUCCCUUGUACUUACCAGUGCUUGACAAUAUACAGUUAUUUACUAGCUUGGUUAUUGACUUCCUACCCAGCACUCAGUUUUAUUCACUGCUGUAUCCUCAGUGCCUAGGACGAUGCUUGGAACGUGGUAAGUGCUCCUAUUGGCGGGAAGAAUAAAUCCGGAAGAGCAGGACCAGUGGACUUGCUACAUAAUCUGUAGUCUUGGAGCCGCACAGGGUUGGUGGUACCCUCGAGCACACCAGACUUGCAGAAAAAGCAUACUCCAGAGGAAGCUGAGGCAUGCCUGCUCGAGAGCCAGCUGUUCCAUGUGCAAUUUUCCUCUGAUAGUUUCUGGUCACUGUUGCCACGGUGAUAAUGACUGGGCUAUGUCAUUAUCUAUCCGCCAACAGUAAGAGAAGCUUUGCAGUCGAGAUAUUGUUUAGCAGAUGGAGUGUUUUCUGUUGAACACUAAGUACUGCCACAAGUUACUUUUUUUUUUUUAAACUUUGAGUAUUUUUUUACAAUGUUGCUGGAGGUGAUCUGUUUAUGCUUUGAGAGUGUUCGAAUUUAAAAUCAGAAAAUCAUGUCAGUGAGUGAGUCUUUCAAAUAAUCCUUCGGCAUGAAACCUGAGCCUAGUAAACUAUGAAAGUAAACUCGGCACAUUACCCGAAAGUCUCAAUGUCAUAUUUUCACCCCCAUCAAUAUUAUUGAUGAUUGCUCAUUUUCUAAUGUGGGACCUGAAAUUUACCAGGUGCUUAAAGAAUCUUUUUGUUUUUCAGAUUCAUUGAUUCCAGGUAAAUCAGAGGAACAAGCAACAUGAACAGAAAUAUGUAGAAAAAGCUAUUAUGCAGAAGCAUAAUUGUUGUUUCAGAAGUCCAGCAUCUGGUGCACUUAACAAUAGAGAAUAUAUUAAACUCUUUCCAAAAUAACCUGUUGUUCCUACCUGUGUUGUAAGUGUUUUGUUUGUUUUUAAGUAAAUAUUGGUGAUUUGUUGCCAAAAACCUAAA